Molecule: ribosomal RNA, 426 nt
Filed under: uncultured bacterium
Lineage: Bacteria
Description: partial 16S ribosomal RNA
Rfam family: Bacterial small subunit ribosomal RNA
Source: RNAcentral
GUGGGGAAUCUUGCGCAAUGGGCGAAAGCCUGACGCAGCCAUGCCGCGUGAAUGAUGAAGGUCUUAGGAUUGUAAAAUUCUUUCACCGGGGACGAUAAUGACGGUACCCGGAGAAGAAGCUCCGGCUAACUUCGUGCCAGCAGCCGCGGUAAUACGAAAGGGGGCUAGCGUUGCUCGGAAUUACUGGGCGUAAAGGGCGCGUAGGCGGACAGCUUAGUCAGAGGUGAAAGCCCAGGGCUCAACCUUGGAAUUGCCUUUGAUACUGGCUGUCUUGAGUUUGGGAGAGGUGAGUGGAACUCCGAGUGUAGAGGUGAAAUUCGUAGAUAUUCGGAAGAACACCAGUGGCGAAGGCGACUCACUGGCCCAAUACUGACGCUGAGGCGCGAAAGCGUGGGGAGCAAACAGGAUUAGAUACCCUAGUAGUCC